This 464-nucleotide ribosomal RNA is filed under the name uncultured bacterium. RNAcentral's name for it is "partial 16S ribosomal RNA". It matches the Rfam family "Bacterial small subunit ribosomal RNA", at positions 28 to 507 of the family's 1533-position model. The record is from RNAcentral.
GACGAACGCUGCGGUGUGCUUAACACAUGCAAGUCGAACGGUAAGGCCCUUUCGGGGGUACACGAGUGGCGAACGGGUGAGUAACACGUGAGUAACCUGCCCUCAUCUCUGGGAUAACAGUCGGAAACGGUUGCUAAUACUGGAUAUGAGCCUGCAAGGCAUCUUGUGGGUUGGAAAGAUUUUUUGGUUGGGGAUGGACUCGCGGCCUAUCAGCUUGUUGGUGAGGUAGUGGCUCACCAAGGCUUCGACGGGUAGCCGGCCUGAGAAGGCGACCGGCCACAUUGGGACUGAGAUACGGCCCAAACUCCUACGGGAGGCAGCAGUGGGGAAUAUUGCACAAUGGACGGAAGUCUGAUGCAGCAACGCCGCGUGCGGGAUGACGGCCUUCGGGUUGUAAACCGCUUUCAAUUGUGACGAAGCUUUUUGUGACGGUAGCAGUAGAAGAAGCACCGGCUAACUACGUG